CGUUUUAGAAACAUCAGUGGCCAACAGAUCGCCAGAUCGUUGAGCUGCAUUGGCGGGAUUUCGCCGUCUUCGUUUCUCUUUCUUCGCGGACGAACACGCGCUGGGGCUGCAGGCUUGCAGAUCCCUGGUCCUUGACUGGAUAUGCGUUAGGGGCUUGUAGCUCAGUUGGUUAGAGCGCGCGCUUGAUAAGCGUGAGGUCGGAAGUUCAAGUCUUCCCAGGCCCACCACUUUCAUCGAGUGUGCAUUCGUCUUCUGGUUACGGGGCCAUAGCUCAGCUGGGAGAGCGCGUGCUUUGCAAGCAUGAGGUCGUCGGUUCGAUCCCGUCUGGCUCCACCAGAUGGUUUGAUCACCGAGAUCUUGUACCGUCGUCCGCGAAACAUCACUUCGCACUUGCUAGUCCGGAUGGACAGUAAGCUGCGUGAUUUCUGACAUCGUAAAGAGGAGAUCGAUCCGAGUUGGAUCGUGCGGAGAAUAUCUGCGCGAUACUUCAUUAUCUCCGGAUCAUUUCGGCGCUCGCGCGCCCUUUCAGUGUAGCUCACAAGGCUGCGGCUGAGAGACGGGCGAGUUGUGAAUGAUCCUUUUAGCGAAGCUUGACCGCCUCGCUAUCGGAACGAUCUUACGAAGCAAGCUGGUCUUUCUAGUCAAUGUCCGGCUGCAGAUAGCGUUCAUCGAGGGCGCGUGCCGCAAGGUAAUUCUGCAGACAACAUUCUGCCGAGUGUGUGGACAUUGAUAAUGAGAGCAAUCAAGUGCCUUAAGGGUGUUCGGUG
RNAcentral lists this transfer RNA (767 nucleotides) under Bradyrhizobium liaoningense. RNAcentral's name for it is "partial contains 16S-23S ribosomal RNA intergenic spacer and 23S ribosomal RNA". The stretch from base 151 to 224 matches the Rfam family "tRNA". The record is from RNAcentral. Lineage: Bacteria; Pseudomonadati; Pseudomonadota; Alphaproteobacteria; Hyphomicrobiales; Nitrobacteraceae.